CCUACGGGAGGCAGCAGUGAGGAAUAUUGGUCAGUGGACGAGAGUCUGAACCAGCCAAGUAGCGUGAAGGAUGACUGCCCUAUGGGUUGUAAACUUCUUUUAUAUGGGAAUAAAACGUUCCACGUGUGGGAUUUUGUAUGUACCAUAUGAAUAAGGAUCGGCUAACUCCGUGCCAGCAGCCGCGGUAAUACGGAGGAUCCGAGCGUUAUCCGGAUUUAUUGGGUUUAAAGGGAGCGUAGGUGGAUUGUUAAGUCAGUUGUGAAAGUUUGCGGCUCAACCGUAAAAUUGCAGUUGAAACUGGCAGUCUUGAGUACAGUAGAGGUGGGCGGAAUUCGUGGUGUAGCGGUGAAAUGCUUAGAUAUCACGAAGAACUCCGAUUGCGAAGGCAGUUCACUGGACUGCAACUGACACUGAGGCUCGAAAGUGUGGGUAUCAAACAGGAUUAGAUACCCGAGUAGUC
This 460-nucleotide ribosomal RNA is filed under the name uncultured bacterium. Its description in RNAcentral is "partial 16S ribosomal RNA". It matches the Rfam family "Bacterial small subunit ribosomal RNA", at positions 338 to 795 of the family's 1533-position model. The record is from RNAcentral.